AUUGAACGCUGGCGGUAUGCUUAACACAUGCAAGUCGAACGAUGAGAAAGAGCUUGCUCUUUCGAUUAGUGGCGGACGGGUGCGUAACGCGUAGGAAUCUACCUAUUAGUGGGGGACAACUUAGGGAAACUUAAGCUAAUACCGCAUACGCCCUACGGGGGAAAGAAGGGGAUCGCAAGACCUUUUGCUAAUAGAUGAGCCUGCGUAGGAUUAGCUAGUUGGUGGGGUAAAAGCUCACCAAGGCGACGAUCCUUAACUGGUUUGAGAGAAUGAUCAGUCACACUGGAACGAGGAAACGGUCCAGACUCCUACGGGAGGCAGUAGUGGGGAAUAUUGGACAAUGGGCGAAAGCCUGAUCCAGCAAUACCGCGUGGGUGAAGAAGGCCUUAGGGUUGUAAAGCACUUUCAAUUGGAAGGAAGACCUCGAAGCUAAUACCUUCGAGUUUGACAUUGCCUUUAGAAGAAGCACCGGCUAACUCCGUGCCAGCAGCCGCCGCCG
Molecule: ribosomal RNA, 499 nt
Filed under: uncultured bacterium
Lineage: Bacteria
Description: partial 16S ribosomal RNA
Rfam family: Bacterial small subunit ribosomal RNA
Source: RNAcentral